Molecule: transfer RNA, 68 nt
Filed under: Rhodomonas lens
Lineage: Eukaryota; Cryptophyceae; Pyrenomonadales; Pyrenomonadaceae
Source: RNAcentral
GCGCUUUGGUUCAGCGGUCACGAGCGUUGGACUUGAAACCGCAAGGUGGAGAGUUCGAUUCCCAGUGA